GUUUUGAAAUAAAAUACAGUUCGACAGUUCGUCAAAAAGACUCAAAUUCUUCGAAAUUUAGAGUUAUUUCUUUUAAAUUAACAAGAAGAAAAGCCUUUUGUUGUGGUGAGAAGAGAAAAACGUGAAUCAAAUCAUGUCUGAUCAGCGUGAAGAGAGGCGUAAAAGAGCACACACUAGCGGGAAACCUUUAAAUGAAUGCGAUGUUUCUAAGAAGAAAUUUAGAAUAUCUGGCGAUUUGGCAAAACAUAAGAGAACACACACAGGGGACAAGCCUUAUGAAUGUGAUGUCUGUAAGAAGAGAUUUAGACAAUCAGGUAAUUUAACUAUACACAAAAGAACACACACUGGGGACAAGCCUUAUGAAUGUGAUGUUUGUAAGAAGAAAUUUAAAAGAUCAGAUCAUUUGGCAAAACAUAAGAGAACACACACAGGGGACAAGCCUUAUGAAUGUGAUGUUUGUAAGAAGAGAUUUAAAAGAUCAGAUCAUUUGGCAAAACAUAAGAGAACACAUACAGGGGACAAGCCUUAUGAAUGUGAUGUCUGUAAGAAGAGAUUUAGACAAUCAGGUAAUUUAGCUAUACACAAAAGAACACACACUGCAGACAAGCCUUAUGAAUGUGAUGUUUGUAAAAAGAAAUUUGGAGAAUCUCACGAUUUAACUGUACAUAAGAGAACACACACUGGAGAUAAACCUUAUGAAUGUGAUGUUUGUAAUAAGAAAUUUGCACAAUCAGGUAAUUUAGCAACACAUAAACGAACACACACUGGAGACAAACCUUAUGAAUGUGAUGUUUGUAAGAAACGAUUUAGACAAUCAAGUAAUUUAGCUUUCCAUAAACAAACACACACUGGAGAGAAACCUUAUGAAUGUGAUGUUUGUAAGAAGAAAUUUAGACAAUCAAGUGAUUUAGCUUUCCAUGAACAAACACACACUGGAGAGAAACCUUAUGAAUGUGAUGUUUGUAAGAAGAAAUUUAGACAAUCAAGUGAUUUAGCUUUCCAUGAACAAACACACACUGGAGAGAAACCUUAUGAAUGUGAUGCUUGUAAGAAGAAAUUUAAAAGAUCAGAUGUUUUGGCAAAACAUAAGAGAACACACACUGGAGAGAAACCUUAUGAAUGUGAUGUUUGUAAGAAGAAAUUUGCGAGAUCAGAUGAUUUGGUGACACAUAAACGAACACACACUGGAGACAAACCUUAUGAAUGUGAUGUUUGUAAAAAACGAUUUUCCCAAUCAAGUAGUUUUACAAGACAUAUUAAGAGAAAACACACAGGAGGCAAGCCUUAUGAAUGUGAUGUUUGUAAAAAACGAUUUCCCCAAUCAAGUAAUUUAGCAAAACAUAAAAUAACACACCACACUGCAGAUGCAGAGAAGCCUUAUGAAUGUGAUGUUUGUAAGAAGAAAUUUAGAAAAUCUCACGAUUUAGCUGUACAUAAGAGGACACACACUGGAGAUAGACCUUAUGAAUGUGAUGUUUGUAAGAAGAAAUUUGCACAAUCAAGUAAUUUAGCAACACAUAAACGAACACACACUGGAGACAAGCCUUAUGAAUGUGAUGUUUGUAAGAAGAGAUUUAGACAAUCAAGUAAUUUAACUUUCCAUAAACAAACACACACAGGGGACAAACCUUAUGAAUGUGAUGUUUGUAAGAAGAAAUUUAAAAAAGUAGAUCAUUUGGUCAACCAUAAGAGAAUACACAGUGGAGAGAAACCUUAUGAAUGUGAUGUUUGUAGGAUGAGAUUUACGGGAUCAAGUAAUUUAGCUGCACAUAAAAGAACACAUACUGGAGACAAACCUUAUGAAUGUGAUGUUUGUAAGAAGAAAUUUAAACAUUCAGGUAGUCUAACUACACACAAAAGAAAACACACUGGAGACGAACCGUAUGAAUGUGAGGUUUGCAAGAAGAGAUUUAGACUAUCGGGAAGUCUUAAUUAUCACAAAAUGGGGCAUUUGUUUUGCAACAGUUGCCAGAGGGAGAUUAUUGAACCAGAAAAUUUGCAAGAACAUUUUGUUCAAGAUGAAAACAUUGGAAAGUACACUUGUCAGAAAUGUAAGAAGGGAUUUUCUAAUUUUAUCAAAUUGGUUCAACAUAUAGCAAGGCAACAUGGCAAUGAUGGAAACUAUCAAUGUGGUUUAUGUCAAGAACUUAAAUCAAAAGAACCAACUGGUAUUGGAUAUGUUUGUUGUGUGUGUGAUGUUGUGUUUGAUAUUCCCAGAGAUCUUGAAGAUCACAUGACCACCCAUGACUCAAUGUGAAUAUUGUUGCCAGCUUUGAGUAUAUACCUGCAGCGAGUACAUUCAGAUUCCAGUUUAGUUUUAUAUGAAAUAUACAUUGGCAUUUGUAUCCGACUAGUUGUUUAUAUUUCUCAUGCCUAUUACUUACUGUGAUGUAAGCUAAUGUAGAUCACUACAUAGGCAGAGGUUAGUCUCAACCUCAUUCCCAGGGUCUGAUCCUGGGUACGAGGUUGAGAUUAGUCUAUGUUCCUGGUGUUAAAUGUCUAAAUUAUAAAAAGUAGGAUGUAGAAUGUAUAGAGGGGAAAUUCUUUUCUAUAAAUUCUAUUGACAAGGCUUUUAGCCAGGGCAGAGAUAUUGUUUUAGUUAGUUUUAUUAUUUAUUUUAGGGGUUGGGUGCAGUGGUGCCUAAAUGACUUUGAAUUUAUACUCGAGUAAAAGUAAAAGUAGAAGUAAUUAACAAUAAAACGACCUGAGUAAGAGUAAAAAGUACUGGAGG
Paramuricea clavata is the source of this 2731-nucleotide non-coding RNA. Lineage: Eukaryota; Metazoa; Cnidaria; Anthozoa; Malacalcyonacea; Plexauridae. The record is from the annotation of a GenBank genome assembly.